Molecule: long non-coding RNA, 1058 nt
Filed under: Oncorhynchus kisutch (coho salmon)
Lineage: Eukaryota; Metazoa; Chordata; Actinopteri; Salmoniformes; Salmonidae
Description: lncRNA (ENSOKIG00005019292.1)
Source: RNAcentral
AUGAUCUCCCUAUCUAGCUUGUUGAGUGGUCGGGCCGUCUGUUCAAGGCUUGUCGCUUCUGCUGAGGUGCCGGGGCCGGACGCUUCUGCUGAGUGGCCUGAAGCUCCUGCUGAGUGGCCUGAAGCUUCCGCUGAGGCGCCUGAAGCUUCCGCUGAGGCGCCUGAAGCUUCUGCUGAGGCGCCGGGGCCUGAAGCUUCUGCUGAGGCGCCGGGGCCUGAAGCUUCUGCUGAGGCGCCGGGGCCUGAAGCUUCUGCUGAGGCGCCGGGGCCUGAAGCUUCUGCUGAGGCGCCGGGGCCUGAAGCUUCUGCUGAGGGGCCGGACUUCACACUUGACGUGGCAUUGUGGCCAGUAGCUUCCGCUGACGUGGCUUUGUGGCCAGUUGCUUCCGCUGUCGUGGCAUUGUGGCCAGUAGCUUCCGCUGACGUGGCAUUGUGGCCAGUAGCUUCCGCUCACGUGGCAUUGUGGCCAGUAGCUUCCGCUCACGUGGCAUUGUGGCCAGUAGCUUCCGCUCACGUGGCAUUGUGGCCAGUAGCUUCCGCUCACGUGGCAUUGUGGCCAGUAGCUUUAACAUUUGGACCAGACACCACACUUGCUUGGGCAUAGGAUCCAGUCGGUUCAGGUCCAGUGUAGGCAGGAUGCCCAUGAGCGUUACCUAGGAAACAAAGAGAACAUUGUGGUAAAAUGCCAGCCUUCAUUUGGAUCGGAACUAGACCUGUGAUUUGACCUGAAUUAGUGUAAACCAAAACGCACCUUUAAGUGUAAAACAAGUUAUCCCUCCAAUUAGCAGGCAACAAAUCCAAGAAACACUACAAAACAGUCAGACAGUUAAACAUAAAUAACCAGUGAAGACUAAGACAAGGUAAACAAACCAGAUGAACGCAUUGAAAAACUAACCUCAAAGAGAGUCCAAAAGUCACAGCCAUUUUAGUGAUCAAAACCACAACAGUAUUCAAGAACUAAUUCUCGACAGCCUGCCAGAAUAUCCCUGUUGCUAUGUCAAACAGCUGUUUUGGUUGCACCUCAUAAAGGAAUCCCAGACCCUUCUCACCUAACUGGCU